Molecule: ribosomal RNA, 372 nt
Filed under: uncultured organism
Description: partial 16S ribosomal RNA
Rfam family: Bacterial small subunit ribosomal RNA
Source: RNAcentral
GUAGGUGGCAAGCGUUGUCCGGAAUUAUUGGGCGUAAAGCGCGCGCAGGCGGUUCUUUAAGUCUGAUGUGAAAGCCCACGGGCUCAACCGUGGAGGGUCAUUGGAAACUGGAGAACUUGAGUACAGAAGAGGAAAGCGGAUUUCCACGUGUAGCGGUGAAAUGCGUAGAGAUGUGGAGGAACACCAGCGGCGAAGGCGGCUUUCUGGUCUGUAACUGACGCUGAGGCGCGAAAGCGUGGGGAGCAAACAGGACUAGAUACCCUGGUAGUCCACGCCGCAAACGAUGAGUGCUAAGUGUUAGGGGGUUUCCGCCCCUUAGUGCUGCAGCUAACGCAUUAAGCACUCCGCCUGGGGAGUACGGCCGCAAGGCUG